UACGGGUGGCAGCAGUGGGGAAUAUUGUACAAUGGGCGAAAGCCUGAUGCAGCGACGCCGCGUGAGGGAUGACGGCCUUCGGGUUGUAAACCUCUUUCAGCAGGGAAGAAGCGAGAGUGACGGUACCUGCAGAAGAAGCGCCGGCUAACUACGUGUCAGCAGCCGCGGUAAUACGUAGGGCGCAAGCGUUGUCCGGAAUUAUUGGGCGUAAAGAGCUCGUAGGCGGCUUGUCGCGUCGGUUGUGAAAGCCCGGGGCUUAACCCCGGGUCUGCAGUCGAUACGGGCAGGCUAGAGUUCGGUAGGGGAGAUCGGAAUUCCUGGUGUAGCGGUGAAAUGCGCAGAUAUCAGGAGGAACACCGGUGGCGAAGGCGGAUCUCUGGGCCGAUACUGACGCUGAGGAGCGAAAGCGUGGGGAGCGAACAGGAUUAGAUACCCCGGUAGUAUCUUCUAGA
Molecule: ribosomal RNA, 452 nt
Filed under: uncultured Actinomycetes bacterium
Lineage: Bacteria; Bacillati; Actinomycetota; Actinomycetes
Description: bacterial SSU rRNA
Rfam family: Bacterial small subunit ribosomal RNA
Source: RNAcentral